CCUAACACAACACAGUCGUCCAUCUAAACUGACAGACUAAGCAAGGAGAGCAUUCAUCAGAGCUGCAAAGAUUCACAACUCAGAUGGAACAGUCUUUUGGCAACUAUUAGUCGUCCACUCCACAAAUCUGGACUUUAUUCAAGAAAGUAGGAAUGCUCCGAUCAGGAUCGCGGGGGAGCUGGUGCCUAAUAUCUCCAGUACUCUACUGGUGAGAGGAGGGGUACACCCUGGACAGGUCGCCAGUCCAUCACAAGGCAACACCCAGGACAAGCAACAUGAUUGUCCGAAGGCCAAUUUAGAGGGACCAAUUCACCUAACAGUCAUGUUUUUGGACUGCUGGAGGAAGCUGGAGAACCCGGAGAGAACCCACGCAUGCACAGGGAGAACAUGGAGAAAGACCCCCAGCUGGGAGUCAAACCAAGGACCUUUUUGCUGCAAGGCAACAGUGCUACCAACUAUGCCACCAUGCAGCCCGUAACAUUUCCUUUCCACUUCAAUACUAAGAACGAAUACUUUGUCAAAUAUUUGAUGACAGAGAGAAAUUGCUCAAUGCUGUUGCAUAAUUAUUAAGUAGCCUGACAGGAAUGAACUCUACUACAUAAUUUAACUCAACAGGUUUACGUCCAGAACAUAAAACUAACUCGACAGGGAAAGAAAUCAGAAGGUUGAUUUCUGACUUUUACUUAAGACUGCAUAGAAAAUCUUUGCAUCUGGCCUAUUCAGAUAAUACUACAAUUCAAUCUAAAAAAAUAAGAAAAUUGUUUUUAAAGGAUAAAUUAAUUGGUCAUUACGAUACAUCUUUAUGAAAAUCAAGGAUUUCUGUUUGUGUGUGAAACAAAACAUAGAUCAAGAAUAAAUAAAAAGUAUGCAGAUUAAAACUCAGAAAAAAAGGAAAGGAUGGAAAAUAAAGAAUAGCAGGCCUUCCUGUAUCAGCUAGACAAGAGCAAGACGGCCAAAGCCAUGCCAAAUUACUUGGAUAAAUCCUUUCAUCUGUUAUCAGAGGGCAGGAAGAUAACCCCCCCUCUCCUUUUUCUAAAUCGUACACUAACCCACAUUUGUCUUUUGUAGAAGCAAGAAUGAUUCAGUCUAUGGGAUUUAGUGCGAAUGUAAAGUAGGUUAGACAGGAGUUAAGAUGCAGCCAUAGAAAGAUUUAUUUCCAGGGAGGAAGAACAUGGAUGCUGGUCAAAGACGCCACAGAGAAGAGACAGAGGAGUGUAGUACUGUCAAGAAGCAGAAGUGAACAUAAGAGGUGAAUACUGUACAGAAUAAAAGGUGAAAUUGAAGAGAAGACAGAGACUAACACAUGAAGAGGCUCUCCCCUGCUUCCCUUCAUAGGUGGUUGCUGUUGACCUCAAACCUCUUCUCUGCUGCAAAGCUGAUGCUCGAAUGUUCUGGAACAAUACAUUCUUUCUGUCAGGCUACAGCUGAAACUGCUUACUGCUCAGUGUACUACAAACACCCACUCACACACAUACACCACAAUUGUUUAGACUCUAAAACCAAGAAUAAAAGAGUGAGCACUCUGAAAAGUUAAACAAAGACCAGAUGGUUGCUCUUAUAAUGAAAGAUGUUGCCAUCUACUUCACAACGCCGGCCAAUGAGGGCCUCACGGUUAGAUGAUGAAAUAAAUUCAGAUCAUGGGAACAUUGUUCCCUAGCUGGGCAUCCUUGUUUAAAAAACUGACGGUAUGUCCACUUGCAAGUUUAAUCACAAGUUUAAUCAUACUGAACCUUAUAUUAAAUGAUUCAAGGCUCUGUAAACCAUUGUCACCAAAUAAAAAGAAGAAGCUGAAAAAUCAAUGUAGCCAAACCAAAUAAGUUGCGGUUUUCAUUCCAAUCAUUCACUCUUCUUGCCAGAACCUGGUCCUCCCAUUACCCACAAUGCAACUCAACCACUAAUAAUCAAGUUAGGGAUCUGGACGUGUCAUACUCAUGGUGGUUAAUGCAGCCACAAACCACUAGAAUAAAGCUGAUACAAGGAAAAAAGACUUCUUUUUAACCUAAGACAUAUUUUUACUUAUUUUAUCAGUUGCGAAUGAUAUUAACUUGCGUGAUUCAUGCAGCCUCUGUAUAGCGAAUUGUGGAGUCAGAACUCUGGCUCAACAAAUUAUUAUUUGAAUGUUUUUCUAAAAGCUAAUUCAAACCGAACAUCUUUGCCAAGUGUCUCUACCUGAAACUGCCAAGGAGAACUUAGUCAUUAUUUCCUGUCCUGUCCACAGGACUAUAUUAGCCUAUAAAAAUGUACUUCUCUUUCACAGUGUAUUCAUUUGACAGUCUUAACAUGUCAUUAUUAAAAUUUAUCAAACAUUGCAACAUAAACCUAGUAUUUUUUAACAUUGUAUACUGUAAACAUACAAUGGAAACAGGAUACAGACAGCAAAGAUAUGUUUUAAUAAUAGACUUAUACUUUGAGUCUAUGUUGGAUUUUAUCUAAUUAAAUAUAGGAUAAAGAUUCAGAAUAUAAUUUAAUUAAAUAUUUAUUUGAAGGUCUUUGCUCUGUUGGAAAUAGAGUACACUAGAAGUUUUAGAAGUACAGACGUAGCAGGUACGAUCUAUCCUUAUAACACAGUCAGUGGGCAUAAAUAUUCAGUGACGCAUCGACCAGGCUUUUCCUGCUCAAUACCGAUUUCCUGCUUUCUUUGCAGUCUGACCUGCCUAUUCAGAUUUUGACCGGUUCAGAUUUGCUUUUUUUCAAGGACAUUAACACAAUAAAAAUACAGAAAGAAAUGUGCUGUGGGUUCUUUGAUAGAGGUAGCAAUUUUAUUGCCAACAGUAAAUUUAGGAAUUUUAAAAUGAUACUAUUUUUUCCCCUAACCUUUACUUGAUUUUUAUUAAAACCUCCAAAGUGCAACAAAUACACGUUCUUGGUUUAUUUGUUCAGAGACUAAAAAUAUUUAGAUGCCUUUAAUGAUUACGAUAAUAAAUGGGAUUUGUUCAGUAUUUGAGCUGUCGAUCACCAGUCGGAACCUUUCAAAAGAAAACUUGUUCAUUUCUAUCCCUGGCUGACAAUUAUUUAAAAAACAACAGUGCAGCUGCAUGAAUUAUAUGUAAUAAAAUCCAGAUAUGAUGAUGUUUUUAUAUUUUCUCUCUGGAUUUUUCCUGACAGAUUAAUCAUGCAUUUUCCCUGCCAUCUAUCUGCCUAAUCCUGUAUAGAUGGCUGGAGGCACAAGUCAACAGAGGUGGAGUACACCCUGGUCGGGUUGCCAUUCCAUCACAGGGCAUGGAAACAACAGAGGAGAGAAAAACCAUAAAACCAAACUGCCAUCCCUAAGCUCCUUCUCGUCCGUGAAGAAAUGACUCUAGAGAAACUCAUAAGGAUAAAGCUGAAGGAUUGAUGCAUACGUCCAGCGUGGGACUGUUGUAAGACGGCCAGUAAAAAAAUAGCCUCAUGCGAAACUUCCUCUAGAUACGAAUAGUCUUUCCUGCUCUAUAAAUAAACACUGCUGGACUUGGAAAGCAACCAGCCUCAUUAUACUCGAAGGUUGAUCAUAAAGUCACUGGAGUAGGGAAAAAAAACAUUGCAUCACUCAUUUAAGACGAGAUAAGGCAGGCAGUUUAAAAACAGACAGACACACACACACAAACACACACACAGAUACAGCAUAAAGCAAAGUCCUAGAGUCCAAUUAAAACAAUUCAUUACACAGCCUCAUCGGUCUUUGUGUCAAGCUGAAAGCAAAACAUUCGAAAGUGUUUGGCCAGCUAAAUAGUUCCUAAGUUGAUUCCAUAAACCUGCCUGUCACCUCCAAUACCAGAAAGAAUUUAAAAACCCACUUUUAAACAUUUGCUGCUGUAAAGUUUUUCAUAAAAGAAUGUUUUAGUUUCUUCCAUUGAAACGGAUGUCAACAUCCAUCCAUCUAGCUAUCCAUCUCUUUGUGUAAAUGCAGUUCAUGUUGCUCAAAAGCUGUCAAACUGAACUACUUGUCUGCAGUAAACCAGACUUUGGCCUUUGAGUCUGACGGCUCUGCUUAGCCCAGCGAGGUUUCUUGAUUGUAGCCAUUCUUUCUUCAUCAAAUUCAUGUUCUCCACUGUUACAACUCUAUGUUAACCUUUCAUGUUACUAUCUAAAGAGUCUUGAGGCUUAAAAGUUCUUCUCCUUCAGCUUCAGCUGUGGUGUUCAGCAAACAUGUUUACAUGUGGUAGCAUGUUAAUGCCACUUUGAGGCAAGCCUCACAAUAAACGUUGGUUAAAACUGA
Long non-coding RNA from Girardinichthys multiradiatus, 4195 nucleotides. RefSeq lists it as uncharacterized. The record is from RefSeq and is a predicted model, not a curated record. The transcript is spliced from 3 exons. Lineage: Eukaryota; Metazoa; Chordata; Actinopteri; Cyprinodontiformes; Goodeidae.